UACGUAGGGGGCAAGCGUUGUCCGGAAUUAUUGGGCGUAAAGGGCGCGUAGGCGGUCACGCACGUCCGUUGUGAAAUCGCUCGGCUCAACUGGGCGGGGUCAGCGGAUACGGCGUGGCUGGAGCAAGCUAGGGGGCAAUGGAAUUCCCGGUGUAGUGGUGGAAUGCGUAGAUAUCGGGAGGAACACCAGUGGCGAAGGCGGUUGCCUGGAGCUUUGCUGACGCUGAUGCGCGAAAGCGUGGGGAGCGAUCCGG
This 253-nucleotide ribosomal RNA is filed under the name uncultured bacterium. RNAcentral describes it as "partial 16S ribosomal RNA". It matches the Rfam family "Bacterial small subunit ribosomal RNA", at positions 524 to 776 of the family's 1533-position model. The record is from RNAcentral.